RNAcentral lists this ribosomal RNA (497 nucleotides) under uncultured bacterium. RNAcentral describes it as "partial 16S ribosomal RNA". It matches the Rfam family "Bacterial small subunit ribosomal RNA", at positions 28 to 507 of the family's 1533-position model. The record is from RNAcentral.
GAUGAACGCUGGCGGCGUGCCUAAUACAUGCAAGUCGAGCGAACGGACGAGAAGCUUGCUUCUCUGAUGUUAGCGGCGGACGGGUGAGUAACACGUGGAUAACCUACCUAUAAGACUGGGAUAACUUCGGGAAACCGGAGCUAAUACCGGAUAAUAUUUUGAACCGCAUGGUUCAAAAGUGAAAGACGGUCUUGCUGUCACUUAUAGAUGGAUCCGCGCUGCAUUAGCUAAUUGGUAAGGUAACGGCUUACCAAGGCAACGAUGCAUAGCCGACCUGAGAGGGUGAUCGGCCACACUGGAAGUGAGACACGGUCCAGACUCCUACGGGAGGCAGCAGUAGGGAAUCUUCCGAAAUGGGCGAAAGACUGACGGAGCAACGCCGCGUGAGUGAUGAAGGUCUUCGGAUCGUAAAACUCUGUUAUUAGGGAAGAACAAAUGUGUAAGUAACUGUGCACAUCUUGACGGUACCUAAUCAGAAAGACACGGCUAACUACGUG